UCCGGGUUGAUCCUGCCGGACCCUACUGCUAUCGGGGUGGGACUAAAACAGGCGAGUCGAACGACUUCUAGCCAUGAUGAAGUCGUGGCAUACGGCUCAGUAACACGUGGCUAACCUACCCUUGAGACGGAGACAACCCCGGGGAACUGGGGCUAAUCCCAGAUAGAUGAGAACUCCUGGAACGGGUUCUCGUCCAAAAAGCGUCUAGGCCAUGCUUCUAGAUGUUGCUCAAGGAUGGGGCCGCGGCCGAUCAGGCUGUUGGUGAGGCAACGGCUCACCAAACCUUUAACCGGUACGGGCCGUGGGAGCGGGUGCCCGGAGAUGGGGACUGAGACAAGGUCCCAGGCCCUACGGGGCGCAGCCGUUGCGAAACCUCGUCAAUGCACGAAAGUGUGAACGGGCUACCCCGAGUGCUGUCCGCUGAGGAUGGCUUUUCUCUGCUGUAAGGAGGCGGAGGAAUAAGGAGAGGGCAAGUCUGGUGUCAGCCGCCGCGGUAAUACCAGCUCUCCGAGUGGUGGGGAUGUUUAUUGGGCUUAAAGCGUCCGUAGCCUGCCUUUCAAGUCUCUCGUUAAAUCCAGCGAUUCAAUCGUUGGACUGCGGGAGAUACUGUUAGGCUAGGGGGCGGGAGAAGCCGACGGUAUUUCCGGGGUAGGGGUAAAAUCCUAUAAUCCCGGGAGGACCACCAGUGGCGUAGGCGGUCGGCUAGCACGCGCUCGACGGUGAGGGACGAAAGCUGGGGGAGCAAACCGGAUUAGAUACCCGGAUAGUCCCAGCUGUAAACGAUGCGGGCUAGGUGUUGGGGUGGCCACGAGCCACUUCAGUGCCGCAGGGAAGCCAUUAAGCCCGCCGCCUGGGGAGUACGGCCGCAAGGCUGAAACUUAAAGGAAUUGGCGGGGGAGCACCACAAGGGGUGAAGCUUGCGGUUCAAUUGGAGUCAACGCCGGAA
Molecule: ribosomal RNA, 946 nt
Filed under: uncultured archaeon
Lineage: Archaea
Description: bacterial SSU rRNA
Rfam family: Archaeal small subunit ribosomal RNA
Source: RNAcentral